RNAcentral lists this ribosomal RNA (402 nucleotides) under uncultured eukaryote. RNAcentral describes it as "bacterial SSU rRNA". It matches the Rfam family "Eukaryotic small subunit ribosomal RNA", at positions 82 to 482 of the family's 1831-position model. The record is from RNAcentral.
UAAAACUGCGAAUGGCUCAUUAAAUCAGUUAUCGUUUAUUUGAUAGUGUCUUACUACUUGGAUAACCGUGGUAAUUCUAGAGCUAAUACAUGCGAAAGCCCUUGACUUCGGAAAAGGGCGUAUUUAUUAGAUUAAAGACCAAUGCCCGUUUACGGGUUUAUUUGGUGAUUCCUGAUAACUUUACGGAUCUCAUAGCCUUGUGCUUAAUGAUAUUUCAUUCAAAUUUCUGCCCUAUCAACUUUCGAUGGUAGGAUAGUGGCCUACCAUGGUAUCAACGGGUAACGGGGAAUUAGGGUUCUAUUCCGGAGAGGGAGCCUGAGAAACGGCUACCACAUCCAAGGAAGGCAGCAGGCGCGCAAAUUACCCAAUCCCAAUUCGGGGAGGUAGUGACAAUAAAUACUG